Molecule: non-coding RNA, 75 nt
Organism: Callorhinchus milii (elephant shark)
Lineage: Eukaryota; Metazoa; Chordata; Chondrichthyes; Chimaeriformes; Callorhinchidae
Source: the annotation of a RefSeq genome assembly
GUCCUGUGGCUCAGUGGUUAGAGCGCUCGCCUGGGAAGCGAGAGACCUGGGUUCGAUUCCUGUCGAGGAGAAACA